GACGAACGCUGGUGGCGUGCCUAAUACAUGCAAGUUGAGCGCUGAAGGUUGGUACUUGUACCAACUGGAUGAGCAGCGAACGGGUGAGUAACGCGUGGGGAAUCUGCCUUUGAGCGGGGGACAACAUUUGGAAACGAAUGCUAAUACCGCAUAAAAACUUUAAACACAAGUUUUAAGUUUGAAGGAUGCAAUUGCAUCACUCAAAGAUGAUCCCGCGUUGUAUUAGCUAGUUGGUGAGGUAAAGGCUCACCAAGGCGAUGAUACAUAGCCGACCUGAGAGGGUGAUCGGCCACAUUGGGACUGAGACACGGCCCAAACUCCUACGGGAGGCAGCAGUAGGGAAUCUUCGGCAAUGGACGAAAGUCUGACCGAGCAACGCCGCGUGAGUGAAGAAGGUUUUCGGAUCGUAAAACUCUGUUGGUAGAGAAGAACGUUGGUGAGAGUGGAAAGCUCAUCAAGUGACGGUAACUACCCAGAAAGGGACGGCUAACUACGUG
This 497-nucleotide ribosomal RNA is filed under the name uncultured bacterium. RNAcentral describes it as "partial 16S ribosomal RNA". It matches the Rfam family "Bacterial small subunit ribosomal RNA", at positions 28 to 507 of the family's 1533-position model. The record is from RNAcentral.